UACAGAGGGUGCGAGCGUUAAUCGGAAUUACUGGGCGUAAAGGGCGCGUAGGCGGCUUGAUAAGUCGGAUGUGAAAGCCCCGGGCUUAACCUGGGAAUUGCAUUCGAUACUGUCCGGCUAGAGUAUGGUAGAGGUGAGCGGAAUUCCGGGUGUAGCGGUGAAAUGCGUAGAUAUCCGGAGGAACAUCAGUGGCGAAGGCGGCUCACUGGACCAAUACUGACGCUGAGGCGCGAAAGCGUGGGGAGCAAACAGGAUUAGAUACCCUGGUAGUCCACGCCCUAAACGAUGAGAACUAGCCGUUGGGGGCAUUUAAGCUCUUAGUGGCGCAGCUAACGCGUUAAGUUCUCCGCCUGG
This 354-nucleotide ribosomal RNA is filed under the name uncultured Gammaproteobacteria bacterium. RNAcentral describes it as "bacterial SSU rRNA". It matches the Rfam family "Bacterial small subunit ribosomal RNA", at positions 524 to 876 of the family's 1533-position model. Lineage: Bacteria; Pseudomonadati; Pseudomonadota; Gammaproteobacteria. The record is from RNAcentral.